UGAGGAGGAAGAGCGGCGGCAGCGGCAAAGACGAAAGCGACGGAGGAGAGCAGCAGACAAAGUCGUUGGCGACGGCGAUGGCAGCAGAGGCAGAGGAAAAGGCGAACGCAUUGAACUUGUUAGCGAUCGGCUUUGUUGUCAGUUAUAAACUAAACGCAAGACGAAACGGUUCGUCAAUUGAGCUGUCGCUAAGCAAGUGCAAGAGCUCUGUAAACAACAGUUGUUGCAUCUUUGUUUUGAAUUUUAUUUUAUUUUAUUUUUUUUUUUUUGGUUUUCUGUUGUUGUUUUCUUUCGUUUCUUGUGCGUUUAUUAGGUCUGUUCUAAGUCAAAAGCAUGACAAUUUAUGGCCUGUUGGUGCAAAUCAUAAUUAUCUGCAAUUAGCAUACAGCAAAUGCAACGGCAACUGCAACGGUAACUGCCACUGUAACUGUAACUGAAGCAAACGCAACGCAACGAAACGUAACGUAAAGCAACGUAGCUUUCAUAGAAUGGCGCCGCCCGCUGAGCAGCCGGAGGAUGAUUUUGCCACCAAGAUACCUUCAAUAAUUGGAUUCUUGAACUUGGACUAAUUGGCAAUUGAAGUUUUGGUUUCUUCUCUCUCUUAACUUUUUUUUUUUUUUUUUUUGCCACCAAGGACGUGCCUCAACGCAAAACGAAUCAAUUAAUUAAGGCUGAUUAUGGGCGCAGUAUACACACACACACACACACACACACACUGAUACUUUUUUGUAGAAUAAAUGUAAUACAUUAAUUAAA
This is a long non-coding RNA of Drosophila mojavensis, 756 nucleotides long. RefSeq lists it as uncharacterized. The record is from RefSeq and is a predicted model, not a curated record. The transcript has 2 exons. Lineage: Eukaryota; Metazoa; Arthropoda; Insecta; Diptera; Drosophilidae.